RNAcentral lists this ribosomal RNA (253 nucleotides) under uncultured bacterium. RNAcentral's name for it is "partial 16S ribosomal RNA". It matches the Rfam family "Bacterial small subunit ribosomal RNA", at positions 524 to 776 of the family's 1533-position model. The record is from RNAcentral.
UACGUAGGGUGCGAGCGUUAAUCGGAAUUACUGGGCGUAAAGUGUGCGCAGGUGGCUGAGCAAGUCGAGUGUGAAAGCCCCGGGCUUAACUUGGGAAUUGCGCUCGAAACUACUUGGCUCGAGUGUGGCAGAGGAAGGUGGAAUUCCACGUGUAGCGGUGAAAUGCGUAGAGAUGUGGAGGAACACCAAUGGCGAAGGCAGCCUUCUGGGCCAACACUGACGCUCAUGCACGAAAGCGUGGGGAGCAAACAGG